This 255-nucleotide ribosomal RNA is filed under the name uncultured bacterium. Its description in RNAcentral is "partial 16S ribosomal RNA". It matches the Rfam family "Bacterial small subunit ribosomal RNA", at positions 524 to 776 of the family's 1533-position model. The record is from RNAcentral.
GACAGAGGGUGCAAACGUUGUUCGGAAUUACUGGGCGUAAAGCGUGUGUAGGCGGCUACGCAAGUCGGAUGUGAAAGCCCCGGGCUCAACCCGGGAAGUGCACCCGAAACUGCGUGGCUCGAGUACCGGAGAGGUUGGUGGAAUUCUCGGUGUAGAGGUGAAAUUCGUAGAUAUCGAGAGGAACACCGGUGGCGAAGGCGGCCAACUGGACGAGUACUGACGCUGGAGAACACGAAAGCGUGGGGAGCAAACAGG